RNAcentral lists this small RNA (1048 nucleotides) under Malus domestica (apple). RNAcentral describes it as "sRNA MD02G0266500". Lineage: Eukaryota; Viridiplantae; Streptophyta; Magnoliopsida; Rosales; Rosaceae. The record is from RNAcentral.
UUGUUGGGGUUCUUGUGGUUGCAGGUAUUGUUGCAGUUGUUGUUGGGGUUGCUGAAAUUGUGGCAGUUGUUGAAAUUGUUGAGGUUGCUGAAAUUGUUGCGGUUGUUGUUGGAAAGGUUGCGGUUGUUGUUGCUGGAAUUGUUGCAGUUGCGGUUGCUGGAAUGGUUGCAGUUGUUGCUGGAAUGGUUGCGAUUGUUGCUGGAAUGGUUGCGGUUGUUGUUGUUGCGGUUGCUGGAAUUGCUGUUGUUGCUGCUUCUGGACUUUUUGUUGUUGCGGUUGAGAAUUACCAGCAGCUCCAAAAACAGGAAAACCGAUAAGAGCUUUUUGGACCUGGAGAUCGUGAGGACUACCUGAAGCAGCAUUUGUCUGAUAAUUAUACGGACUGCCAACGACAACUGGCGAUGACAGUUGUGCUGCUUGAUUUAGUUGAAUUGGUUCGGCGGUGGUGCAGGCCAAAUGAGCCACAAAACCGCAAGGAUGGCAUAAAUGAAGGUCUUGCUGCUGGUAGGCCCUGGAGGAAGUGAGAAGGAGAGAACGAGUUGGUGAGGGUGGGAGUGGUGAGUAUGAACCAACGGCUUUGAAGCACAAGUUGUGUGGAGAUCAAUCUUGCAAUCUCCGCAGUGGUAGGAAAAUCCAUUUCCGUGCUUAUUGCAUGCACAGCAAUUGAAGACCCCAUCAGAGUAUAUUGGGGUUGGGAGCAGAGUCAGGACAUGUUUAUUCUCAUCACAUGGAUGCGUAAUUUGCUGAGGCAUUUGUGAACAUGAGACAUGGAGCAAGUAAUUGCAUGGCGUGCAACUGUAAAUCCAUCCGGCAGAGGCAUCCAGUUUGCAGGCUGAACAAGAGGUAGCUAGCCACUGCCCGUUUGAGAUUUGCUGGGGAUGUGGGUGAUGAAGAUUGGAAAGGAUCAAGGGAUGUGGGUGGCUAAAAUGUUGAAGCACGGCCUCAGGUUGAGGUUGACCAGCGACCUGCAUGAUCAUCUCUCACUCUCUCACACAAGCACAGAGGGAGGAACUUGUCUUUCAGAUGACCUCUAGCUAGCUUCCUUCUU